ACCUGCCUUCGAGUGGGGAUAACGUCCCGAAAGGGACGCUAAUACCGCAUAACAUCCUGCCUUUGAAGAGGUGGAGAUCAAAGCUGGGGACCGCAAGGCCUAGCGCUCAAAGAGGGGCCCGCGCCUGAUUAGCUAGUUGGUGGGGUAACGGCCUACCAAGGCGAUGAUCAGUAGCUGGUCUGAGAGGAUGGACAGCCACACUGGGACUGAGAUACGGCCCAG
Molecule: ribosomal RNA, 222 nt
Filed under: uncultured bacterium
Lineage: Bacteria
Description: partial 16S ribosomal RNA
Rfam family: Bacterial small subunit ribosomal RNA
Source: RNAcentral